This 644-nucleotide ribosomal RNA is filed under the name uncultured bacterium. RNAcentral describes it as "bacterial SSU rRNA". It matches the Rfam family "Bacterial small subunit ribosomal RNA", at positions 232 to 887 of the family's 1533-position model. The record is from RNAcentral.
CGCGGCCUAUCAGCUUGUUGGUGAGGUAAUGGCUCGCCAAGGCGAGGACGGGUAGCCGGCCUGAGAGGGCGACCGGCCACACUGGGACUGAGACACGGCCCAGACUCCUACGGGAGGCAGCAGUGGGGAAUAUUGCACAAUGGGCGGAAGCCUGAUGCAGCGACGCCGCGUGAGGGAUGACGGCCUUCGGGUUGUAAACCUCUUUCAGCAGGGACGAAGCGUAAGUGACGGUACCUGCAGAAGAAGCGCCGGCCAACUACGUGCCAGCAGCCGCGGUAAGACGUAGGGCGCGAGCGUUGUCCGGAUUUAUUGGGCGUAAAGAGCUCGUAGGCGGCUUGUCGCGUCGAAUGUGAAAACUUGGGGCUCAACUCCAAGCUUGCAUUCGAUACGGGCAGGCUAGAGUUCGGUAGGGGAGACUGGAAUUCCUGGUGUAGCGGUGAAAUGCGCAGAUAUCAGGAGGAACACCGGUGGCGAAGGCGGGUCUCUGGGCCGAUACUGACGCUGAGGAGCGAAAGCGUGGGGAGCGAACAGGAUUAGAUACCCUGGUAGUCCACGCUGUAAACGUUGGGCGCUAGGUGUGGGGGGCCUCUCCGGUUCCCUGUGCCGCAGCUAACGCAUUAAGCGCCCCGCCUGGGAGUACGCGA